UUCUAUUCGAGUCCAUUCCAUUACCGUCUAUUCUAUUCCCUUCCAUUCCUGUUGAUUCAAUUUCAUUCCCUUCCAUUCGAUUCCUUUCCAUUCGAUUCCAUUCCUUUCCAUUCCAUUCCAUUCGUUCCCAUUCCAUGUGAUUUCAUUCCAUUCCAGUCCAUUAUAUUCGAGUCCACUCCACUCCAUUCUAUUACAUUCAAUUCCUUUUGAGUCCGUUCCAUAACACUCCAUUCAUUUCGAUUCCAUUUCUUGCCAGUUUUCUUCCAUUUUAUUCCAUUCCGUUCGAUUCCAUUCCAUUCGAUUGCAUUCCAUUCGAAUCCUUUCCAUUCCAUUUCAUUCCAUUCCUUUCUAUUCCAUUCCAUUUCAUUCGAUUUGAUUCCAUUCUGUUCUAUUCCAUUCAAUUCUUUUUCAUUCCAUUCGAAUCCUUUCUACUGCAGUCCAUUCCAUUCGAGUCCAUUCCAAUCCCUUCCAUUCCAUUCCAUUACAGUCCAUUCCAAUAGAUUCCAUUCCUUUGCCUUCCAUUCGAAUCCAUUCCAUUCUAGUCCAUUCCAUUUGAGUCAAUUCCAUUCCAUUCCAUUCUAUUCCUUUCCAAUCCAUUCGAUUCCAUUCGAUUCAAUUCCAUUUGAUUCUCUUUCAUUCUAUUUUAUUCCAUGCCAUUUGAUUGCAUUGCAUUCCAUUCCGUUUGAUUCCAGUCCAUUCAAGAAAGUUCCAUUCCAGUCCAUUGCUUUCCAGUCCAUUCCAUUCCACUCUAGUCUAUUCCACUCCAUUCCUUUCCAUUCCAUUCCAUACUAUUCCAUUCCAUUCCUUUGCAUUCCGUUUCCAAUCUAUUCGAGUCCAUUGCAUUCCAGUCCAAUCCAUUCCAUUACAUUCCUUUUGAUUCCCUGCCAGUCGAUUGCAUUGCAUACUACACCAUUCCAAAGGAGUCCAUUCCAUUCUAUCUCAACACUUUCCAUUCCACUCUGUUCGAGUCCAUUCCAUUCCAGUCCAUUUAAUUCAAGGGCAUUCCAUUCCAUUCCAUUCCAUUCCAUUUCAUAUUAUUCCAUUCCAUUCAAUUCCAUUCCAGAUGAUUCCAUUCCAUUCUAUACCAUUGCUCUCUGUUCCAUUCCAUUCCAUCUGUCUCCAUUCCUUUCGUUUCGAUUCCUUUCCAUUCCAUUCCAUUACAUUUGAUCCUAUUUUAUUAAAUUGCAUUCUAUU
This 1194-nucleotide long non-coding RNA is filed under the name Anas platyrhynchos platyrhynchos (common mallard). Its description in RNAcentral is "lncRNA (ENSAPLG00000027068.1)". Lineage: Eukaryota; Metazoa; Chordata; Aves; Anseriformes; Anatidae. The record is from RNAcentral.